RNAcentral lists this unclassified non-coding RNA (306 nucleotides) under plant metagenome. Its description in RNAcentral is "partial contains 5.8S ribosomal RNA, internal transcribed spacer 2, and large subunit ribosomal RNA". The stretch from base 1 to 105 matches the Rfam family "5.8S ribosomal RNA", at positions 50 to 154 of the family's 154-position model. The record is from RNAcentral.
GAAAUGCGAUAAGUAAUGUGAAUUGCAGAAUUCAGUGAAUCAUCGAAUCUUUGAACGCACAUUGCGCCCGCCAGCACUCUGGCGGGCAUGCCUGUUCGAGCGUCAUUUCAACCCUUAGAACCCCUUGCGGGAUCUGGCGUUGGGGAUUGGCAUCCAGCCAGCCCCGAAAUCUAGUGGCGGUCCCUCCGCGACCUCCCCUGUGCAGUAGCGAUACCUCGCAGCGGGACAGCGGUCUGACCACGCCGUAAACCCCCAACUUCUCAAGGUUGACCUCGAAUCAGGUAGGAAUACCCGCUGAACUUAAGC